This is a long non-coding RNA of Corythoichthys intestinalis (scribbled pipefish), 381 nucleotides long. RefSeq lists it as uncharacterized. The record is from RefSeq and is a predicted model, not a curated record. The transcript is spliced from 3 exons. NCBI's taxonomy places the organism in Eukaryota, Metazoa, Chordata, Actinopteri, Syngnathiformes, Syngnathidae.
AGAUGCCUGCGGCUGUGAUUUACAGAGUUCUACUAACAUUGCCAUGAGUGUUGCUUUGGCCUUAAGCUUGAUUCUCUUAGUUUUUCUUACAUACUACUUCAAGACAAAAGGAUGUCUUUGCUGCAAAGCUUGUCCACAAACCCUUGAUGAAACAUCUAAUAAUGUGCAGCAGAGAGAGGAGGAGACUCUGGUUUAUUCUGUGCCAACCAUCGUCACCAGAAAAAGCGGCAAAUCGAAUCAGACCGAAGGGGAAUUUAGCACAUAUACUGACGUCAGACGUCGGGAUUCCUAACAUGACAAAAUUGAUCUGUCGGCUUCUACAGUGAAAGAAUCGUAUCUGGCAAACGUUAACUUGGAUCUAAAAGAAUAACUAUAUUUACU